Molecule: ribosomal RNA, 301 nt
Filed under: uncultured bacterium
Lineage: Bacteria
Description: partial 16S ribosomal RNA
Rfam family: Bacterial small subunit ribosomal RNA
Source: RNAcentral
CAGCCGCCGCGGGAAAACGUAGGUGGCAAGCGUUGUCCGGAAUUAUUGGGCGUAAAGGGCUCGCAGGCGGUUUCUUAAGUCUGAUGUGAAAGCCCCCGGCUCAACCGGGGAGGGUCAUUGGAAACUGGGAAACUUGAGUGCAGAAGAGGAGAGUGGAAUUCCACGUGUAGCGGUGAAAUGCGUAGAGAUGUGGAGGAACACCAGUGGCGAAGGCGACUCUCUGGUCUGUAACUGACGCAGAGGAGCGAAAGCGUGGGGAGCGAACAGGAUUAGAUACCCGCGUAGUCCCUGUCUCUUAUAC